This 22-nucleotide transfer RNA is filed under the name Eucalyptus stoatei. Its description in RNAcentral is "partial tRNA-Phe". The record is from RNAcentral. Lineage: Eukaryota; Viridiplantae; Streptophyta; Magnoliopsida; Myrtales; Myrtaceae.
GUCGGGAUAGCUCCGCUGGUAG